RNAcentral lists this ribosomal RNA (254 nucleotides) under uncultured bacterium. RNAcentral describes it as "partial 16S ribosomal RNA". It matches the Rfam family "Bacterial small subunit ribosomal RNA", at positions 524 to 777 of the family's 1533-position model. The record is from RNAcentral.
UACGGGGGGGGCAAGCGUUGUUCGGAAUUACUGGGCGUAAAGGGCUCGUAGGCGGCCAACUAAGUCAGACGUGAAAUCCCUCGGCUUAACCGGGGAACUGCGUCUGAUACUGGAUGGCUUGAGUGUGGGAGAGGGAUGCGGAAUUCCAGGUGUAGCGGUGAAAUGCGUAGAUAUCUGGAGGAAUACCGGUGGCGAAGGCGGCAUCCUGGACCGACAUUGACGCUGAGGAGCGAAAGCUAGGGGAGCAAACGGGG